RNAcentral lists this ribosomal RNA (840 nucleotides) under Annulohypoxylon sp. PP139. RNAcentral describes it as "eukaryotic LSU rRNA". It matches the Rfam family "Eukaryotic large subunit ribosomal RNA", at positions 66 to 932 of the family's 3401-position model. The record is from RNAcentral. Lineage: Eukaryota; Fungi; Ascomycota; Sordariomycetes; Xylariales; Hypoxylaceae.
CAACAGGGAUUGCCCUAGUAACGGCGAGUGAAGCGGCAACAGCUCAAAUUUGAAAUCUGGCCCUCGUGGUCCGAGUUGUAAUUUGCAGAGGAUGCUUUUGGUGCGGUGCCUUCCGAGUUCCCUGGAACGGGACGCCAGAGAGGGUGAGAGCCCCGUACGGUUGGACACCUACCCUAUAUAUAGCUCCUUCGACGAGUCGAGUAGUUUGGGAAUGCUGCUCUAAAUGGGAGGUAAAUUUCUUCUAAAGCUAAAUACCGGCCAGAGACCGAUAGCGCACAAGUAGAGUGAUCGAAAGAUGAAAAGCACUUUGAAAAGAGGGUUAAAUAGCACGUGAAAUUGUUGAAAGGGAAGCGUUUGCGACCAGACCUUCUCCAGGCGGAUCAUCCGGCUCUCUCGCCGGUGCACUUCGCCUGGUCUAGGCCAGCAUCGGUUUCCUUAGGGGGAUAAAGGCCUGGGGAACGUAGCUCUUUCGGGAGUGUUAUAGCCCCUGGCGUAAUACCCCUCGGGGGACCGAGGACCGCGCUUCGGCAAGGAUGCUGGCGUAAUGGUCGUCAACGACCCGUCUUGAAACACGGACCAAGGAGUCGAACAUUUGUGCGAGUGUUUGGGUGUUAAACCCUCACGCGUAAUGAAAGUGAACGGAGGUGAGAGCCCCUAGGGGUGCAUCAUCGACCGAUCCUGAUGUCUUCGGAUGGAUUUGAGUAAGAGCAUAACUGUUCGGACCCGAAAGAUGGUGAACUAUGCGUGGAUAGGGUGAAGCCAGAGGAAACUCUGGUGGAGGCUCGCAGCGGUUCUGACGUGCAAAUCGAUCGUCAAAUCUGCGCAUGGGGGCGAAAGACU